AGUUGGAAGUGGGAUCCUGACACUUGAGCGCUGUCGGUGGUGCCAGAUCUAACUCUUCCAGCUCA
RNAcentral lists this microRNA precursor (65 nucleotides) under Ixodes scapularis (black-legged tick). RNAcentral describes it as "Isc-Mir-750_pre stem-loop". It matches the Rfam family "mir-750 microRNA precursor family", at positions 11 to 75 of the family's 80-position model. The record is from RNAcentral. Lineage: Eukaryota; Metazoa; Arthropoda; Arachnida; Ixodida; Ixodidae.